GACGAACGCUGGCGGCGUGCUUAACACAUGCAAGUCGAACGGAAAGGCCCUGCUUUUGUGGGGUGCUCGAGUGGCGAACGGGUGAGUAACACGUGAGUAACCUGCCCUUGACUUUGGGAUAACUUCAGGAAACUGGGGCUAAUACCGGAUAGGAGCUCCUGCUGCAUGGUGGGGGUUGGAAAGUUUCGGCGGUUGGGGAGGGACUCGCGGCUUAUCAGCUUGUUGGUGGGGUAGUGGCUUACCAAGGCUUUGACGGGUAGCCGGCCUGAGAGGGUGACCGGCCACAUUGGGACUGGGAUACGGCACAGACUCCUACGGGAGGCAGCAGUGCGGAAUAGUGCACAAUGGGCGGAAGCCUGGUGCAGCCACGCCGCGUGCGGGAUGACAGCAUUCGGGUUGUAAUCCGCUUUCGCCUGUGACGAGGCGUGAGUGACGGUAAUGGGUAAAGAAGCACCGGCUAACUACGUG
This 468-nucleotide ribosomal RNA is filed under the name uncultured bacterium. RNAcentral's name for it is "partial 16S ribosomal RNA". It matches the Rfam family "Bacterial small subunit ribosomal RNA", at positions 28 to 507 of the family's 1533-position model. The record is from RNAcentral.